GGACCGCUCUGCCUGGGAGGGGGCGGCAGGCGGGGCGCGCGGCGCUGCUGCCCUGAGCAGGUGCUCCCGGGGGGCUCCAGGCCUCAGACCCGGGGGCCGCGGCCCUGCCCUGGGGCCUCCCGUGGGGGUCGGUCGUGCCCUGCGCUCCUAAUGGGUAACUUGGUCGCACGAGCCGUGCAGCCACUUUGUGCGGCGCUUGGCAGGGCGCCCUGUGAACUGUGGGCUUCCCCCCCUUAUUACUAAAAUUUACUUCCAGUUUAGUUAACAUGCUUUGUUAUAUCGAUUUCAGGCCUGUAAAACAGUGACUCAACUGUUCCACGUACCGCGGUGCUCCCCACGAUGCUGCCCUCUUAACCCCCUGCACCUGUUUCACCCCCCCCCACCCCCACCCACCUCUCUCCUGGUGACCACAAUUUGCUCUCUAGAGUUCCGUCUAUUUUUUGGUUUAUCUCUUUUUCUCCUCCUUUGUUCAUUUGUUUGGUCUCAGAUUCCAGGAGCGCAGUCACAUGGGAUUUGUCUUUUUCUGCCUUCACUCGGCGUCAUACCCUCCGGAUCCACCCCGGUUGUGACAAGUGGCAAGUGGCAAGGUCUCAUUCUUUUUGUCGGCUGAGUAUUUUUCCAGGGUCUAUAUCCACACAUCCGUCCAUGGGCACGCAGCACUCCCUGCAGGUGACACGGCAGCACAGAGCCGGUUCUCCUCAAGGAACAGUGUGUUUGCCGGAAAAGAAGUCCUCAUUUCCAAAGAUGUUUACCAGCACCAGGACACCUAGCGCAGUGCCUUGCAUGUGGUAUACACCAUACUCGUGUAGCUGUGUGGACGGGAACCAACCUAGUACAAGAGGCUUGUUUGUGCACAGGAGAGUGAGCAGGUGAUGGUAGAUAAGACCGAAAGGUUACACUCACCGGCAAACAUUUUUACACUUUAUUUAAUCCACUAUUUGCAACUAGUUGACCCAGUGAUGUUGGUUUAAAGCAGUGCUGUUCAGCCUUGGUCAGACACUGUGAUCACCUGAAGAGCUCUAAAAAUGCUGAUGCCCAGGUCCCACUCCAGGGAUUUGGAUUUGAUUGAUCUGUUGUAAUUUGGGUUCUGGGAAUUUCAAAAGCCACUGCCCACCCCCCUGCUGACUUAAUAAGGAGCCCGUGCCGUGAUCCUGGAGACCCAGGAUCGAAUCCCACAUCGGGCUCUCGGUACAUGGAGCCUGCUUCUCCCUCUGCCUGUGUCUCUGCCUCUCUCUCUCUCUGUGUGGCUAUCAUAAAUAAAUAAAAAUUAAAAAAAAAAAAUAAGGAGCCCGUGGUGAGGACCACAGAUUCAAGGCCAGGGAUGCAUCUGCUGUAAGUGAUGUGUGUGCGCUCUGGGGUUUUAGAAAACAGCUCUGCCCUGUUAAAAUCAAAGGACUACUUCAGAUAACUCAGCUAUUUGUCUAAACUACAAUAGGAGGAAAUGUCUUCUUAGCAGAUCUAUCUUUAUGUCAGUUGCUUUUAGAAUAGGAGGUUGCUCCGGGCACAGCAGUUUGAUUUAGUCUGUGUUGAAAAUCAUUAAUGGCCUACAGAUACCAAAAAGGGAUGAAAAGAAUUUGCAAACAUGUGGAGUGUAUUAUACAUGUUUUCAAAUUUCUCCUAUGAUUAGAAAGGAAAACUGUAUUGCUGAAGACUUGAUUUCCUAAACUCAGGCCUCAGCCAUUUCCCUAAAUUAUCCCAAGUCUUUCCAAGACACUCAGCAUUCUCUGAAGGGGAUUAUUCCCCAUGUGAAGAGUAUGAGAUGGACGCCGAUUUCAAGGGAAUUCUGCUUCUAUUGCAGAAGUCUCACUUUCUAGAACCUCCGAUGACUAGGGAAGCUGCAGGAGCAGUAUGAACUAGUGGAGUCAGGGGAGCUCUGCAGUCAGGUGGAGUCAGGAGGGUCCCAGCCCAGCCACUUAGUAGCUCUGGGGCUUUGGACAGACUUCUUGACUUGGACGACAGUUGUAUAAACCUCUUGCAAGAAGAGGCAUAAGGGUACUGAUUACAAAAACAGCAGCAAUUCAUUCUUCCUGGCAGCGCACGCCCUCUGCAAUGAGAUUUUACAGCUGCUCCCUUUCAGAGGCAGACUCUCUUCAUCCAAACUUUGCAUCAGAUCUGGUCUUACUUGCUCUGGCCAAGAGAAUGCAGUGGGACCCUUGACAGUAGGCCAGUCUUAGAUGCUUCUGUUUUUCCUUUCAGAAUACAGCUGUCUCCAAGUCCAUGUUAGCCUUGGAGAGGCUCCAGGUCCAGCCUUAGCUGGAGGAUGAGAUGCCAUGAGGAAGAGAACCACGGUGCCCCCUUGACAGUCAACUCACCCCUCAGCAGCAGAGCCCCCUGGUCAACCAGCAGCUGACCACACAUGCAUGGAGGAGCCGAGCAGACACCAGACGGGUCCUGCUGAGCCCAGCCUAAGCUGCUGACCAGCUCAGUCAUGAGCUAGGUAAGUACUGGGGCGGGUUGUUACUCAAUAGCUAACUAAUACAUCAGUUGCAGAUAAGAUGUCAAGAUGCAAUGAUGUAUUAGUUAUAAGUUACUUGGCAAACAGUAGGCAUCCUAUAGGUGCUGAUUUCCUUCUUCCUUUAUAGAAAGUUGCAUCUCUUGAGUUAAACAGAAAUAAAUAUGUAGAUGCAGAUGUAUGUGAUUGGUGCUUAAACUCACACAAAACCGCACACUGCAAGAGGGAAUAGGUGACCAGAGCCUGACCACUAGGGCUCAAGGCCAGAUUGCAAAGUAAGAAGUUUCCUUUUAUUCCCUCCAAAUCUAAACUCUGGAGACCAAGGCUGAAGAUAGAUCUGAAGACACAGAGUUCCCCACCUUCCUCUCCACACUGUCUGACCUCUGGGAAGGGGGAAUGGACCCCCCAAGAAGCAAUUGGGAAGCUCUGGUCUACUUUGGGAAACUUCUUCUCAGGGCACCAUCUCUUCUCACCUUGGGCCAAGGAGAGAGGUUGGCAGGGAAGGGGUGACACCUCUGGAAGAGAAGGGGAUGUUCAGGCAAGUCACCUCCCUGAGGUCGAGAAGAGUCACCCUUCCAGGGGGGCAGCCUCUCAACAUGAGCACUCAGCACCUAGACUGUGGCUCCUCUAAGUUAUGAGGUGCUGAAAAGUGCAAAAUAGAGUGAAUUUCAAAGAUUCAAUACAAAAAAAAAGGGAAAAUAUUUCAUCAAAACUUUUCUGUUGAUUACACCUUAAGAUAAUAUUUUACAUAUAUUAGGCUAAAUAAGUUAAUAGUAUUACAGUCAGUUUCACCUGUUUCUUUUUAUUUGCUGUAACGUUGCUGAAAAUGUAAAACUACAGACGUGGCUCACCUCCUGUUUCUACUGGACAUUCCUGUCUGAGAGGACUGCCUCCUUUUCAAAGCUCGGGGUGCUUCCUUGGAAGAGCAGAAGCCAGGAAGGUUAGAAAAUCUGAAGUUUUAAAAGAAUCUGGCAUUUUACUGUCCCCAUUUGUGAAUAAGGGAAAUUAAUAAGGCUUUGAUUUUAAGGUUUAUAUUCAUAAAAAGCAUUCAUUUCAACAUCGUGCUUGGUAAUUAUUUUGCACGGGGAUUGCAGAAGCAGGGCAAAGACACUCUCCUCGGCUCCAGGCCUUUACUAUUUAGCUUCUCGCAAAUUGGCUCUAGGUCCAGAUAUUUCCAUGUUCCACAGACUCCCUUCCUCCAGGGUGAUUAAGGAAUAAGGCUGAAGUGCAGGUUGACACUCUCACAAGCCAGAGGACUUUUCUUUCUGUGGUUUACUAGCAUU
RNAcentral lists this long non-coding RNA (3735 nucleotides) under Canis lupus familiaris (dog). RNAcentral describes it as "lncRNA (ENSCAFG00030010772.1)". The record is from RNAcentral. Lineage: Eukaryota; Metazoa; Chordata; Mammalia; Carnivora; Canidae.